RNAcentral lists this ribosomal RNA (468 nucleotides) under uncultured bacterium. RNAcentral's name for it is "partial 16S ribosomal RNA". It matches the Rfam family "Bacterial small subunit ribosomal RNA", at positions 38 to 507 of the family's 1533-position model. The record is from RNAcentral.
GGGGGGGGGGGGGGGGGGGGGUGGGGGGGGCAGGUCGGGGGGGGGGGCCCUGCUUUGGGGGGGGGCUCGAGUGGCGAGCGUGUGAGUAACACGUGAGUAACCUGCCCUUGACUUUGGGAUAACUUCAGGCAACUGGGGCUCAUACCGGAUAGGAGCUCCUGCUGCAUGGUGGGGGUUGGAAAGUUUCGGCGGUUGGGGAUGGACUCGCGGCUUAUCAGCUUGUUGGUGGGGUAGUGGCUUACCAAGGCUUUGACGGGUAGCCGGCCUGAGAGGGUGACCGGCCACAUUGGGACUGAGAUACGGCCCAGACUCCUACGGGAGGCAGCAGUGGGGAAUAUUGCACAAUGGGCGGAAGCCUGAUGCAGCAACGCCGCGUGCGGGAUGACGGCCUUCGGGUUGUAAACCGCUUUCGCCUGUGACGAAGCGUGAGUGACGGUAAUGGGUAAAGAAGCACCGGCUAACUACGUG